GACGAACGCUGGCGGCGUGCCUAAUACAUGCAAGUAGAACGCUGAAGGAGGAGCUUGCUUCUCUGGAUGAGUUGCGAACGGGUGAGUAACGCGUAGGUAACCUGCCUGGUAGCGGGGGAUAACUAUUGGAAACGAUAGCUAAUACCGCAUAAUAGCAGUUGUUGCAUGACAACUGUUUGAAAGGUGCAAUUGCACCACUACCAGAUGGACCUGCGUUGUAUUAGCUAGUUGGUGGGGUAACGGCUCACCAAGGCGACGAUACAUAGCCGACCUGAGAGGGUGAUCGGCCACACUGGGACUGAGACACGGCCCAGACUCCUACGGGAGGCAGCAGUAGGGAAUCUUCGGCAAUGGACGGAAGUCUGACCGAGCAACGCCGCGUGAGUGAAGAAGGUUUUCGGAUCGUAAAGCUCUGUUGUAAGAGAAGAACGAGUGUGAGAGUGGAAAGUUCACACUGUGACGGUAGCUUACCAGAAAGGGACGGCUAACUACGCG
RNAcentral lists this ribosomal RNA (495 nucleotides) under uncultured bacterium. Its description in RNAcentral is "partial 16S ribosomal RNA". It matches the Rfam family "Bacterial small subunit ribosomal RNA", at positions 28 to 507 of the family's 1533-position model. The record is from RNAcentral.